CAACAGGCUUUGAUGGGAACAAGUACAUUUCUGCAAUACUUACAGAGAGCUGCCGGCAGGUGAGAGGCGCAAGGAAACAGAUCUGGAAUACAUCCCGGAGCUUUGCACCGAACGUCAUACCGGAUGAUUAAAUAUCCCCGGUUCGAUUAAUAAGCCGCAACGUAUUGGCACACGUUAUAGUGCCGGAGUGUUAGCAGAAUCGGCUAUUUUCACAUAUGUCGAAUAAUGUGUGACAACUCACGGAGGCAUUCCUGUGCGAGCAGGAUGCAAAUUAAGGUGGUAACGCGAGAAAUCCCCCUCGUCCUUAAA
RNAcentral lists this non-coding RNA (309 nucleotides) under Agathobacter rectalis. Its description in RNAcentral is "Eubacterium rectale T-box sequence". It matches the Rfam family "T-box leader". From Rfam's summary of the family: Uncharged tRNA acts as the effector for transcription antitermination of genes in the T-box leader family. The record is from RNAcentral. Lineage: Bacteria; Bacillati; Bacillota; Clostridia; Lachnospirales; Lachnospiraceae.